CUCUUCUCAUUACUCAGCUCCUUCCUCCCAGUGGGAACAGCCUAUUCCAUCCAUUCAGAGCAGCAACUUGCUAAUGGGAAGAGCACAUGUCUGA
Vicugna pacos (alpaca) is the source of this 94-nucleotide non-coding RNA. Lineage: Eukaryota; Metazoa; Chordata; Mammalia; Artiodactyla; Camelidae. The record is from RefSeq and is a predicted model, not a curated record.